This is a non-coding RNA of Schistosoma haematobium, 45 nucleotides long. Lineage: Eukaryota; Metazoa; Platyhelminthes; Trematoda; Strigeidida; Schistosomatidae. The record is from Rfam.
AUCCAGAUGAUAAAUCCCAAAUAGGAUGAAAAGUGCGUCCUGGAU